This 247-nucleotide unclassified non-coding RNA is filed under the name Hevea brasiliensis (rubber tree). Lineage: Eukaryota; Viridiplantae; Streptophyta; Magnoliopsida; Malpighiales; Euphorbiaceae. The record is from RNAcentral.
UGCGUAUGGUGUCAGAGAGGCUCUUGAGAUGAACUGCAAUCUUUCUCAUAUUCUCUAUGUACUCAGGAAGUGAUACAUGAGGACCUAGGCCAGAUGAGUGAGGCCCCAUGGAAUCAUUACCACCAAAAUAGACUAUCACCAAAGCAGGCUGUACAGCAGCAUCCAUUGGAAAAAUUUGAUCCAGGACCUCAACAGCACGCCUCGAAUUCCAUCCAUAGUACCCUCGCAACACUAUGUCUGCUUUGCG